Molecule: unclassified non-coding RNA, 1257 nt
Filed under: Hevea brasiliensis (rubber tree)
Lineage: Eukaryota; Viridiplantae; Streptophyta; Magnoliopsida; Malpighiales; Euphorbiaceae
Source: RNAcentral
CCCUCUUCUUGGACCUGUAUAAAUAGCUUCUUCUACCCUUUUCUAUACCACACAGAAACACAAGCUAUCUCAGCUUCUUCAUCUGUUUUUAUCCAGUUUCUAGUAUUCAAUUAAAAAAAAUGGCUUCUUUCGCUCCUCAGUGUGUUCUGAAGCUGUUCCUCCUACUCUCUGUCUUUCAGGUCGCUUUUGGGGCUAGAAAGCUCAAUGAGCUAGUGCAAGAUCAGCCUCAGCUCUUGAGUUACCACAAUGGUCCUCUUCUUUCUGGUAAAAUCUCAAUCAACCUCAUUUGGUAUGGCAAAUUCAAGCCAUCCCAGAAAGCCAUCAUCUCUGAUUUUAUCACUUCAUUGUCAGCUCCGUCAUCCCAAAAUGCCCAGCCCUCUGUUGCUGCCUGGUGGAAAACCACCGAGAAAUAUUACCACCUCGCCUCCAAAAAGUCCACUCUUUCCACUGCUUUGGGCAAGCAAAUACUAGAUCAAACAUACUCACUAGGAAAAUCACUCACAAACAAACAUAUUGUCCAGUUGGCCUCAAAGGGAGAUCAAAUGAAUGCUAUUAACGUUGUACUCACGUCCUCUGAUGUUGCCGUUGAAGGUUUUUGCCUCAACAGAUGUGGGACUCAUGGAUCUGCUUCUGGAUCCCAAACUGGUCACAUCAAGGGCAAGAAUUACAAAUUUGCCUACAUUUGGGUUGGUAACUCGGAGACUCAGUGCCCUGGUUACUGCGCCUGGCCAUUCCACCAGCCAAUCUACGGACCACAGAGCUCACCCUUGGUUGCACCGAACAACGAUGUGGGUGUUGAUGGUAUGGUAAUCAACUUGGCAAGCCUUUUGGCUGGGACUGCCACGAACCCAUUUGGAAAUGGAUACUUCCAGGGUCCAAAGGAGGCGCCAUUGGAGGCAGCAUCAGCUUGCACUGGGGUUUAUGGGAAAGGGGCUUAUCCGGGCUAUGCUGGCAACUUACUAGUGGAUUCUAGCACUGCUGCUAGCUACAAUGCAAAUGGAGAAAAUGGCAGGAAGUACUUGCUCCCAGCUUUGUAUGAUCCUUCUACAUCUUCUUGUUCAACCUUGGUCUAAAAAUGUUGGAGGUAGUGGAUUAGGAUUUAUCCUUAGAUUAGGAGUUAUUAUAGUGGAAUUAUUGUAUAAAUUACACAUCUAUUAGAGAGAGAGACGUUGUAAUUGAUUUGUUUGUUAAAUUUUUUUGGCUUACGCGGCUUAAUAACAGAAAGCAAAUUACUUUGGUUUGCUUUUUCAUUGAAAA